UCGCUCGGCUACCCGGCGCUUGGGGCGCCCCUCUCUGGGGCCGCGCUGCGCGAGGGGGAGGGGCGCGCCCCCCCUUUGUCAGGCUGCGAGCGCGGCUCUGUGACAUCACUCAUUCCACCCUCUUCGGGGUUCUUGUUGUUGUGUUGUUUUUUUGUCGGGCAGGAAGGCGGGCUCGACUUUCUCUUUUUGCAAGCGGGAGCAGAAGGCCGUCCUUAGAGCCCGGGCUGCGGUUUCCAUCUUGAGCAGAUCUCCCCCGAAACUUCUCCAAGUGCCCCCCAUAACUUACUUGUUUCCCGAGUUCUCGUCUUCAUUCGGCUGUCUUCCCCAACCGGGCAGGGCCAGGAGAUCGGGAAUUGGGGACGCAGAAAGCAUUCAGGUCUAGGGGUUUCGGGGUGUUGUUGGUGGUGGUGGUUUUUUGGUCCUCAGCUGGACGGGGCGGAGGUAGAGUGGUGGGGGAAACUAGGGAGACUUUUUCCCCGGGGAGGAUCCGGCCCCGCGGGGCGAGCGCAGCAAGAUUUCGCGCGCCGCACGCGUCUACACUCUCCUGCGCUUUGCAGCAGGACCGCGGGAGGGGGAGCCGCAGAAAAGCCCACCACCCGGGAGGAUUGGUUGUUUGUUUAACAGGCCUGGGAGUGGGAUUUAUUUCACGCACCCAACCUUAAAAGUUUUUCAUAAAGAAAACCCGAACCCUCGUGAAUGCCCUUUCCAGUCCGCCCUCCUCCCGCCCAAUUAAAAAAAAAAAUCAUUAACGCACCAAUUUCCACGCGCGCUCUGAACUAGGGGGCACACACACACACACACACACCCCUAGACACUUGAACAAUGAAAAAAAGUUACUUUGGCAAGAAUGAAGGUAAAGAAAUGGGGGAGGCGACACUUUUAACUUCUUGUUGCUUCUCCCCCGCCCCCACGGGAACGGAACAUAUGGCUUGUCACGCUGCGCUGUUUUGGCGGGGGUGGGGGGAGGACGGUAGUAGCAGAUCCUCGAAACCGAAAGCCCCCUCCCCAAUGGAUUACUCCUUUUAAGACUGUGAUAUAUUUACUGUUAGGUUCGCAUGCCCCUCCAUCCACCCCAAUACAAAGUUGUUAACGUGUCGCCCACGGCCCCCGCCCCGGUGCUGGAGCGAAGACCCAGGCGGAAAUCGCGGGGCUAUGUUUCUUUCCUAUUUCCCCGCGUGCCGGCCGCCUCCUCAGCCCUCGCACGUUUCUUCCCAGCACUCGAGGCCGCCCGGUCUGUUAUGAAACCCCGAGCGCUGAGUGGCUAAGAGCGGGUUCCAUUGCGAUGUAAUUAGGUCACCCCAUUAUGAGCACGUUUCUUUGGAAAGGACAGGGCGGGCGGAGCAGAGCGCUGGAGUCGCGCUCUCACCACCACCACCCACCCACCCACACACGCAUUUUUAUUACAUUUCUGAUGUAUUCGUCAACCUCCGAGCGGACCCAGGGAAACCUUCCAAAUCACAACGAAAGGAACCGGUUGUUUUUCAUCUUUCAGAAACACACAACAACUGCUGCAGCCACGAAUCUACGCGAUCCUAGCCGGGUCUGCUGUUAUAUGGUCCCUCUGACUUAAACUGAUGACGGCCCCCAUUUUUGACCUGGAUGCUGCCCCUCGCCUUUCCUUCUGCUGCUGUCCAGCCUCCUGUUGCUUCCCCACCACCACCACCACCACGCCCCGUUCCCAUUUUUCAGCUUUUCUUGAAAUCUGGCAAGCGCCAGAAAGGGAAAUAACUUCCAUCCACCUUAAUUUAAAUCAUUCAAGUGUAAGUUUCUUUCUUAAAGGAGUGUUUGCUCGCUCCUUUCCCCAUGCUCCCCCUCCAAGUCGGGGAGGGGGGGCGUCGAGCAGUUUCUUAGUGAUGAGGUAAUGAGUUCCAGAUUUCAGGACAGAGCAGGCUGCGCGUUAAACCACAAGGUUAGUCUGCGUCCUGAUGUGAAGCUAUUUCGUCUUUUUAUCUCCCUCCCCCUCCCACCUCCAAAAAAAGGCCCAUUGGUCUUUAACUCUGGAGGGUUCGCGAAGCUCUGCUGGGGGAACGGAGGAGGGGUGGAGAAGCGAGGGAGAAGGGGGCCCCGGAGCGGGUGGGGCCGCCUUCCCGGCCCCCGGCCUGGCCCGCACCCGCUGUCCCCCUGCGGCUGCAGGGCCAGCCAGAAGUAUCGUCACAUUGCCCGGCGCCGCAAGCUAGCGAAAAAGUCUUUAUUUUUUUUUUUCUCCCCCCACCCCCACCCCACCCCCAAAGAGAUCGCCGAUUCCUCGAAUUUCCUCCGCUUUUCCAACUCCCGGCCGCCGCUCCCCUCCCCCGCUCCCGGGGCGCGGGCUCGGCGGGGCGGCGGCCUGGCCCGCUCGCUCCGGAGUUGUUUACCGGCCCCGCCGACCCACCGAGUUUGUUCCAGCUCCCAGAGCCUGUCUCUAUAAUUAAACUCUUUUUUAAUUGUCGGGUUGAAACGUCAUUUCGGGGACUUUCCAAGGGUGAGGGAGCCGCGGGGAGGGAGCGAGCCUCCUUAACCCUUCGCUGACCCGGCGGGCCGGGGAGCCGCGUCCAGCCGGGCCGAAGUGGGCUGGGAGUCUGGGGACCGGAGUCGGCCCGCCCCGGCCGGACGUGCUGUGCAGGUGCCCGAAGGCAGCGAGGAUGGCCGCCAGCCCCGACCACGGCAGGAAGCCCUGCGAAAGCCGUGCGCCGCCCUCCCCGCCUCCUUUGCGAGGCAGUAGGCGCUCGGGUUCCUAACUCGCGCCGGGUCUGGAGAGGCCGCCCCUUCACCUGCACUGCCGCUUCCGACCGGGAGGCGGUCGCCCGGGUCCUCCGUUUCAGGCCCGACUUCCGGGCCCUCCAGGCUCCCUUGCAGCCGAUAUCCUCGCGAGGAAGGCCUAGCCAGGUACUUUUGGCUUGGAGGUGUUAGGUUGCGUUCAAAGAGAAAAGUGAAAGUCCUCGGAAUGAGGGAAGCGCGACGGACGUAUUCAUGGGCCAGUCUGGACCGUGGGCACUCCCCACAGCAGCCCCAGCCCCUUUGCUUUGGAAUUAUCCUCCAGCCUCUCCUGCAAAGCCCAGCCCGGAAAGGGACCAACCCCACCCUGGGGAGCUGUUCCUCCAGAAGCAGGAUCCACCGCCCCCCCCUCCCCCCAGGCAGAGCAGGGAGCUGACAACUCUUGGAGGGUCGGCACAUAGGCAGCCGGAGAGAGGAUGGAUCUCUGCCACAAUCCCGUGAUUUCUUCCAAGCUGAAUUUCUCCUGCCAACUAAACCCUCCACCCUGCGGGGGCCACGGGCCCCCACACCAGGGCCUGCCCUCGUCUGACCAAAGACAACCAGAUCUGCUGCAGCUGUUCAGGGAGAGAACAAGCUCUCGCAGAGACCGUGGAAGCGGCUAGAGAAAGAUUCCUGCCAGCCUGGGGGUUUAAAUAUUUAUACAACGUGUAGCAGAACGUUGGACAUUGAUAAGGAUGAUGAGGCACGGAGGCGACCAGGCAGGCGAGCCAGGGGUAGAGAAGGCAAGGGAGACCUCGAUGGCACUCGCGGAGCAGCACGUGGCCACCAUCCCCAUGGGGCCCAGGAGAGGACGGUGCAGCCGGAUGGACAUCCAGUGGGGGCUCUGGGGCCCCAGCAUCCCAGGUAUGCAUCGACAAAGUCGCUUCUCAGCCAGGCCCACCCCAGAGCUCAGCCAGGCCCCAGUGGCACCGAGAGCCCGGGGUGGGAGGCAAGCAUGGGUCAGGGGUGGGGAGGGUGGGGGACGGCCAGAUGGACUCCAGUCGCUCUGCCUCAGACAGCUGGGGAGCAGAGCAAGGACGCGCCUCUCUGUCACUCCACAUGGGAGGGGCGCGGCUGCGACUUCUAGAGUUUCUCCGCCACCGCACCCUUCGAGAAGUGCCACCUGCUUCUAUCAGUUUGAGGCUGAGCCUCAGGGCCUCCCACAGGUGGGGUCUGUGUUGCUCCUCAGUGACCAGCCACCUUUAAGACACCUUGAGAUGAUCAGCCACUACUUCCAUUCUCCUGGAGCCCUGAAAACACCCCCAGGCUGGGCUGCGCUGGGGGUGUUGGGAGGGGGUCUUCAGCCACAGAGCAACUCUCAAAGGACACCCAGACUCCCCCAAGAGGCAGCCCCCCAUGCUGCAAGUCCUCCCACCCACAGCACAGAGCUUUGCUAGAAAUGCAUUCCCCAUGCACCUCCCCAGAGCGCCCACCUUUAGGGGGAUCCCGGUGAAUCCCCCCACCUGUCCACUCCAAGAGGGACGGAUUCCACGGCCUCCCUGAGCAAUGGGGCCCAGGCCCACACACCGUGGAGGAAACACCAUCUGCCCCAAACUUCAGCUCCAGCCUGGCAGCCCAUGUGAACCCUCGCAGCGGGGAGAGGAACCCUGUCCCCAGCCCCGCCCCGCCUCCAGAAGGGGGCUCCUCUCCCAGGGACACCAGGGCUGCCGGAGAAUCUUCUGAUGCUCAGGUCAUCUUCUGCCGCCCUGGCUCUGCCUGCCGGCUGUGGCCUCCUUCUUGCCAGCUCGGCUGAAAGAAAUGAGCAAGAAUAAAGCCUAAACCUGUGUGGCCCAAAGGAAAGCUUGAGGGGAACGCAUGGAUGCUGAAAGAAAAGGGGGGAAGAGCGACAAGAAAGAGGAGAGGAGGGGAACUCGGGAAACAGACAAAAUAAACCAUCCAGGAAUCCAGAUGUAAAACAAGGAGGCCAAAAGAAAAAAGAAAAAUUACGCUAAGAAGGCAGAGUCGGGUGGGGAAGGAACUUGAGAAGGAAAAAGAA
This is a long non-coding RNA of Mustela lutreola (European mink), 4729 nucleotides long. RefSeq lists it as uncharacterized. The transcript has 3 exons. The record is from RefSeq and is a predicted model, not a curated record. NCBI's taxonomy places the organism in Eukaryota, Metazoa, Chordata, Mammalia, Carnivora, Mustelidae.